Long non-coding RNA from Brassica rapa (field mustard), 10798 nucleotides. RefSeq lists it as uncharacterized. NCBI's taxonomy places the organism in Eukaryota, Viridiplantae, Streptophyta, Magnoliopsida, Brassicales, Brassicaceae. The record is from RefSeq and is a predicted model, not a curated record.
AAUGAAGUGAUAUAUUUAAUUAUUGCACCCUUAAAUAAUAUUUUAUUAAGACAUUAGAGAAUUAUGUUUUGAGUUGUUUUGUCAAAAUUGUACAAAAAUCUAUGAUUUUUCAUAUUUGUCACGAAAAUUUAUAUGUUAACUUACUUUUACAAAAUUCUAAAUUUGCCACGAAAACAAAAAUUUAUGUUUUUUUCAUAUUUGUCAAUGUUUCACUCUUUCAUAGAAUAUAUUUGCUUAGUCACUUACUUAUUUUUUUUUACAAAACAAAGUAUCGGAGUCUUGAAAGUUGAAUUCAUAUUAUUGUACUUGUACAUAAGAGUUUGUGAUUACAUACUUAGUGAUUCAUGAAUGUGUUCAAGAAAGUUUCAAUGGCUUAGUGGUAACUGCUCUAUAUUUAUGUCAUACUAACCCGGGUUCGAUCCUCGUUUUCGCAUUUUUUUUUCAUUUUUUACGAAAAAAUAAAUGAGAUGACGUGGCAACUUUGGGUUCUCUGAUUGGUUGAUUUUUCUAUCAUACGUGGACACCCUGUCCAUGGCUUAUAUUUGCCUUUUAGUAUAGUAUAGAUGUUAUUUUUUACUUCUAUAUUUAAUGGUAAAAAUAGUACAUUUUUAUAUUUUACUUUAUAAAUAGAAAAACUCUAUUAUAAAGGCAUACAUUGGAGCAAAUCCACUUUUAUAAUAGAAAUUUUUUAUUUUAGAAGAAAAUAUAGAAAUGAAUCUAGAGGUGAGUUGGAAAUAGUCUUAGAUAAUUGAUAUAUCAAACCCAAUCGACAGAGCGAAGAGGAAAGAGAACUAUUAAUAAAGUUUUAUUAAAAAAAUAACUCUGGAAAUUUCAAGCUGGAAUUACUAUAAAAAUAAAAUAAAAUAAAAGAAAAGAAAAUUAUUUUGAUGCAAAAAUGGAAAUUCAGAGAAAAAAGAAAGAAAGAGAAGGCUAGAAACAGAGGAGGCGUUACGUAGUGGAAUUCGAAGAGCCCAGAGCUGACUGGACGAGCCGUUGACCCUCACCCUAUUGUUACUUGUACUUUUUCGUUGAUACCGACACAUGUGGAGAGCAUGAUGAAAUGAUUGCGUGGCAACAUUCUGAACCUUAGAUGAAAUGAUUACCUGGCAACAUUCUCACCCUAACACCCCAAAACUAGCCCAAUUAAAAUUUUACAAAUCUAAUGGAUUCUCUACAACCCAACUAGAAAACUCUAGGAUUCCUCUUUCCCUCCCCUUAUAAAAGCAAGCUCCCACCCAUUUAUCUCUCAUCAAAAGUUUAAAAGCGAAACCCUGCAAAAAAAUUUCGGAGACCGGAAGCCCUAGCCGUCGACCUCUUCUCUCUCCCUCCCCGCGCCGUCUCUCUUCUCUCUCUCUCUUCGCCGCGCCUCCUUCUCUUCUCUCUCUCUCGGCCGACUCUCUCUCUCUCCUCGCCGUGAACAGCCGCGAGUGGUGGUGGUAGCCGUGUGGUGUCGUUGACCUCAGAUCUCAUCUCUCUUGCCUCUUAUCUCAGAUCCAGAUCCAGAUCUAGGUUAAGGUGAAGUGUUCUACCCAUAUUUCUUCCAUGUCCUUUUAUAUUGUUGAAUGGAGAUCUAGAAUUGAGUAGAUCUGUUUGUUGUUAGGUUGAUAGAAUCAUAUUGCAUCAGAACACUCAUAUUGAUUAAAGACAUUAAAUAAACCGUUUGAAUGAUUGAUUGAUUGUUUGAAGAUCUGUUUGUCUAUGAUUGAGAGUUAGGAUGGAUAGAAAGAAUUAAAUGUAGGAUCUUAGAGUACUGUUAACCGGUAUUGGUUAGAUAAAUGAUAGGAUAUAUGUGAAUGAAUGUUAAAUGGAUUGAGUGUGACACCGAGAAUGGGUGUCGUCUAAAAAGGAAAGUAAGAAAGAGUUUAAAGGUAAAAGAAAAAAUAAAUGAUAAGAAAAAAAAGAAAUAAAAGAAAAAGGAAAGUUAAAUGAAUGAAAUACGAACCACCGAGGAACUGGUGGGAGUAUGAGAAAUUAAUUGAAUGGAAUACGAACCACCGAGGGACUGGUGGGGAGUAUGGAAAAACGCGGCAGCCGUAGCGUUCAAAAACGGCAGGGUAAGAAUAGAGGCGCCGGUAAGAUUGAGUCACGCCGAGUCUUGGCGGGAAGGGGUCGUAAUACACUGCAAGGGGUAUAGACUACAUCCAAGGGAACCGGAUGCCGAGUGUACAAGGGCAGGCGGCUCCACAGGAACGCAUCAAGAAAAGGGGAGGGUUGGUCCGCUUGAGCUGUGUAGGUCCUAGAGUUCUAGGAUGAUUGGAGUCUUAAAUAAUAAACCGAUUUAUGUGAAUUGAGUGAUGACUGAGGUCAUUACAUUACUUGAUUUCGUGAAAUGAAACAUUAAUAGCUAGUUAAGAAUUGGGUGUAGUGACUAGUCGGUUCUCGUUUCGCAUUGAGCAGUAUCGAGGCUCAUGGGGGAGACUGGUCUAGAAUCGCUUCACUGAGUAUUCAUACUCACCCCUCUUUUUCCCUCUCCCUUUUGCAGAACUAUAAGUGGAAGUGUUGAUGGUAAGAAACGAAACACACCUGAAACUCAUGGGACCAGAAACGGGACACACGGAGAUGUCGGGAAAGUAGACAUGUGUGUCCUCAACCCCGCGCCCAGGAACCCCGGUUGAAAAUGGGGAAGGGGCGGGUGUUUCAAUUGGUAUCAGAGCCAGGUUAAGGUCCCUUAAUACUAACUUAAGGGAUCAACGUUUCCGCCAUUGUUCAUUUUCCCCUUAUGGUUCUGAUAGACCCGUCAUAGUCAGUGUUGAAAGAGAAUUUGAACAGCUCAGAGUCUUUGGCCGGGAUCAGAACAACGAAAGUCCUCGUACCGCGGUGUGGUGGAGUUUUAGAGGUCCACGAGGGGAUUAACAAGGAGUUGUAAGACAAGUAUACAGAGGGAUCAGUGGCAUAGCACGACAAGCUAAGGAGGAAUGGAAGGUCGGACAUACGAGCUUGAGGUGAAACGUUUCGUCGGCAACACCACCCCACGCCGGGCCGGGAAGGCUGGGGGAGGAGGGUCGGACGCAAGGUCGAGGCGUGCACAACUUCACGGAAGAGAUAACCCUACAAAGAAAUAGCCUUGUGACAUUCCAAUAUUACAGUGAAGCUUGUUUCCCAGUAAAAAAGGGGGAGACAUGGGCGCGGGCCCCACUUCAUUGGCGUGGGCCCGCCAGCGAGGAAGGAACAAACCGGGGCGGCCAGGGGACUGCCGGCUGGACAAAAGGAGGAAACUGAUUUCAGAUCGCAAUGGCUAAGCUAAGGAUCAUCUUGGGGGUAAAAAGGAUGAUGGUGGAUCGUCAUUAGGCGAGAAUGUAGAUGCUAGUAAGGACGAUGGAGGAUCGUUUUGAAUCAAGAUGCAAUGUACUAAUAAGGAUAUGAGAUCUUCUUGGGGUAAAAAGGCUGAUGGUAAUAAGGAUCAUCGUGGGGUAAAAUGGAUCGUCUUGGGGCAAAAAGGGAUGUUAAGGACCACACCGGGAUAUUAUUUCAUGGAAUGCUUAAGCAGCACUAGACUUGAGAAAUGAUUGAAAAUUACCAUCUAUUCAUGACUGCUAUUAUGUUUCUGACCAGAUCUUUUUAUGCUGCAAGAUGUCUUCACCAGUGCAUCACGAGUUCGGAGAAAGACGCAUGCGCUAUGGACCAAAGGGGACAAGGGCGUACGCCCGCAAGCCCUAUUGCGACGCUUGGGGUAACAAGGUACAUGCACUCUUCCUAGACGAAGAGGAGAUGGGGUUUGCGGAGUAGCCGAACACCCACAUCCAGGAGACGACCGUGAGGCGUCGGGUACUGAUGCCCCACUUCCAGCGGGCAGCCGAGUACAGGCGGUUAUACCAGGGUCAGGGGACUUUCCAGUUUGCACCUGAAGUUGAAAUGACACCGCCCACGAGGAGCCGAGGGCGUCCAAGGAAGACAGAGUUAACCAGGGAAGGUCCUGGACCGAUUAGGAUGGAGGACAGUGUACCAACGAGAAAACGUGGACGUCCAAGGAAGAUUCCUAGCAUCAAUGCAGAGAGCCUGAGGAGCAUAACCAGAGUAUGUCGGUGUAUAACACUGAUGCAGGCCAGGCAAGGGCCGCCCUCAGUCCGGGAAUACACAGAGGAAUUCCUGGAGUCAGCCAAAAGAUGCAAGCCCAAGUCAGCAGAUGAUUGGUGCCGGUGGUAUAAGGCAGGACUCCGCGAGGAGAUUGGGGGCAAGCUGAUUGGUGUGUUGGAACCAUGGGAAUUCGCCUUGGUGAACCGGAUGGCCGGUCAUGCAGUGGAGGCCGAACGAGAACUUGCUCGUCGGGUCAUCGCCAUCUCGAGCUCUGAGGAAGACGUGGAAGUGGAAGAGGAUCCAUCGGAGAACUCAGAGUGGGAAGAGGAGCCGGAAGUGGAAGAGGAGCCGGAAGUGGAAGAGGAUCCAUCGGAUGGAUAGAAAGAAUUAAACGUAGGAUCUUAGAGUACUGUUAACCGGUAUUGGUUAGAUGAAUGAUAGGACAUCUGUGAAUGAAUGUUAAAUGGAUUGAGUGUGACACCGAGAACGGGUGGCGUCUAAAAAGAAAAGUAAGAAAGAGUCUAAAGGUUAAGGAAAAAUGAAAUGAUAAGAAAAAGGAAAUAAAGGAAAAAGAAAAGUUAAAUGAAUGAAAUACGAACCACCGAGGGACUGGUGGGGAGUAUGGAAAAUUAAGUGAAUGGAAUACGAACCACCGAGGGACUGGUGGGGAGUAUGGGAAAACGCGGCGGCCGUAGCGUUCAAAAACGGCAGGGUAAGAAUAGAGGCGCCGGUAAGAUUGAGUCACACCGAGUCUUGACGGGAAGGGGUCGUAAUACACUGCAAGGGGUAUAGACUACAUCCAAGGGAACCGGAUGCCGAGUGUACAAGGGCAGGCGACUCCACAGGAACGCAGAAAGAAAAAGGGAGGGUUGGUCCGCUUGAGCUGUGUAGGUCCUAGAGUUCUAGGAUGAUUAGAGUCUUAAAUAAUAAACCGAUUUAUGUGAAUUGAGUGAUGACUGAGUUCAUUACAUUACUUGAUUUCGUGAAAUGAAACUUUAAUAGCUAGUUAAGAAUUGGAUGUAGUGACUAGUCGGUUCUCGUUUCGCAUUGAGCAGUAUAGAGGCUCAUGGGGGAGACUGGUCUAGAAUCGCUUCACUGAGUAUUCAUACUCACCCCUCUUUUUCCCUCUCCCUUUUGGAGAACUAUAAGUGGAAGUGUUGAUGGUAAGAACGGAAACGCACCUGAAGCUCAUGGGACCAGAAACGAGACACACGGAGAUGUCGGAAAAGUAGAUAUGUGUGUCCUCAACCCCGCGCCCAGGAACCCCGGUUGGAAAUGGGGAAGAGACAGGUGUUUCAAUCUAGGUCGUUUUUAUUUUUAUUUUUAUUUUUAUAUUUAAAAUAAAAUAAAUAUUUAUUUAAUAAAAUUAUAACAAAAUCUUUUCUGAAUCAUUUUAAAAAUUAUUUCCAAAAUUUAUUAAUUUAAAUUUUUGUUAUCAUAAAAUAUAAUUAGAAAUUAAAAUUUAAUUUAGUUUUGAUUUAUAAAGAAAAUUUUAAAUUGUAGAAAAUUAAGUUUAUCAAAUGUACAUAACUUCAUUAUAAUAUCUUUUAUGAUCUCUAUUUUUAUUUAAAAUAAAAUAAAUAUUUAUUUAAGAAAAUUAUAGCACAAUAUUUUAAAAAUCUUUCCAGAAUCAUUUUAAAAAUUAUUUCCGAAAAUUUAUUAAUUUAAAUUUUGGUUAUCAUAAAAUAUAAUCAGAAAUUUAAAUUUAAAAUUUAUAAAUGAAAAUUAAAAAUUAUAUAAAAUAUUUUAGAGAUAAUAUCAACUUAAAUUAUUACCUUCCAAAAAAUACAUUUUACAAAUAUUUUAAUUUUUUUUGUUGGAAAUCAAUAUCCAUUUCUAUUUAAUUUUUAAAAUAAAAAUAUCUUAUUUAUUAAACACAUAAAUCAUGACUUAUUACAUGUAUGUUUUUUAAUUUAAACUAUCUCUUAGAGGUCACAACUUAAAUGCUUAUAUUAUGUAACACUAGGCUUGGCCCGGGAUACGCCCGGGUUUUUGUUUAAAUUUUGAUUUUUAUUAAAUAUUUUGUACGUAUGUUUACUUUGAUAUAUAAAUAUUAUAAUAUAUUAUAAAAAUAUAAAUAGCUAAAAAAAUUAUAAAAUCACUUUCAGUUAUUUAUUAUUUAUGUCUUACAAAUUUCAAACAUUUUAAUAUCCAAAUGUCUGAUAUUUUUAUUAUUGGAAAUUAUAUAUAAGGUGAUGAGCAAAAUAUAAAAAAAUUGAUUAAAUUUUAGUUAUUUGUUUGAUUGGUUGGGUUGUAAAAAUGUUUCAUUUCACUUAAUUGUUUUUUAUAAAUUUCGGUUCCAAUUAUUCUCUUAGUAAUUUAAUUGACCCUCACUUUUAAAUAUACAAUCCUUUUAAAAUAUUUUUUUUAUUAAAACACUGGUUUAAAAUUGUAAUAUCUUUCUACAUUAAAAACUUACAACUACGUCACUAAAACCUAAAAUUUACCAACUAAAUUCUUACAACAAAUGUUUUUGCACCUACAUCCCCAACUGUUUAGACCCAUGAUCUAAAUAUUCAUUUAUCUUAAUUAUAUAAAUUUUGAUGCAAAACUUUUUUAUAUGAACAAAUCACACAUAAUUUUAUUUAAGUUAUGAUCUGUAUGGCUGGAAUACUUAUUAACCUGAAGGCUCUAAAGGUGUAAGCCAAAGAUCACUUUUUUUCUUAAAAAUGUUAAAGAAGAGACAUUAUGGCCUGGUCCAUUCACGAAGCGUUAUCUAACAAUAAUAAAAGGAGAAUAAGCUCAAUGUUUAGCUAUGCCACAUAGACAAAUUAAUUCAGACCAAUCACAGUGCUAUAUUAUGCCAUGUCAUCUACUGCAGUGAACCCUAUAGCUUUCGUAGCCGACUGGUCGCCUUAUUUUUGAUCAUUUUCCUAGGAGAAACCCAGCAGCUUUUACCUCUUUACCUUCUCCUCUGUAACAUCAACGAAUCAUAAUCCUGAUCCAUAAAGCUCCAUUAUUUAGUGCAAUCAGUAUAUAAUCUAUCUCUUACCCUCCUAUUUUGCUGAGAAGAAAAUGACCUAGAAUCUAUCUUUUCCAGGUUCUGCCAAUGUCAUCAACUCUAGAUCAAAGAUCAUCGGAGAGGUUAGAAACAUUUGGACCACACACACGUAAUAUAGGCUCGCCUUUGAAAAAAAACGCUUAUAACAAGAAUCGCAUCCUGAGUGAAGUCACAAAGGUUUUGAAUCCGGUGCACCUGAUCCAUCGUUGCCUCCGCAUCUAUGCUGAAGGAGAAGUAAAUACGCCGACAGAGAAGAUGGAGAAAGAUCUGCUUAUUUCUCUAUCGCAGAUUCCUGCCUAACAUCAGUACAACUUCGCAUGGACGUGACGGUUUGACUUAGUGCGUUUGAUGGACUAUCACGGGAACUUCACCAGAAUCUUGAAAGCUUUGGUAUUGAUGGAUACUUAUGUAACCAUCAUUUUCAGGUAGGCUAUUUCUCAAUGCCACAUCUAAGUUAAAUGAUCUAACAUUAACUUUUACUUUGACAAAGAGACGGCUGCAAGCAAUAGUUUAUAUGGCGAGUAAGAAUUUGAGACGCCAAACUUUCUUUAAUAAUUCCAUAGUCCGGUCUCUCUUAUUCACUACAUAAAUCACACAUUGUAGGUAAGGGUCAGUGAUACAGUAACUUCAUUUAAGUACCCUUGUGUCCAGAAGAUUGAAUUUCUAACACUAGGAUCCUUGGUUUAAAAAAGCGCUCGCCUUUGGCGCCAUGGCGCUAGGUGAGGUCUAGCGAUGUCCUCAUCGCCUCAGCACCUCAAGGCGUGGCAACUUACAUAAAGCGAGCGCUUUCUACGCUUUCUUACUAAACCUAAGGCUCCUAAAGCGACGCGUUAUUUGGUUUUAAGUCAAACUGAAUUGGUUUGCCAAAUUUAAACUGCUAAAUUGAGUUAGAUUUGUAACACAUCUUUGGCGUCACAUAAAAGCCCUUUUCAAACCCUAAGUUAGUCUUAUAUACCGUAACUUAAGUUUAAAGUUAGGGUUCCAUGUGCUAUUGUUCUUCUCUCUAUUUCACGGCUUUGAUGUUUGACGUUUCUCCUGAUAUUUUUGUUCACUAGUAAGUACUCUGUUUUGCACUUUGGUUCUAAACUUGUAUUCUAUCUAUACCUAUAUUUUUGCACUAUAUUUUUUGCCUUCACACACAAAGCGCUCGCUUUGUGUCGCCAUGGCGUAAGGCGAGAGGCGAGACACUCAUCGCCUCACCUCGCCAUGCGCCAUUUUAAACCAAGCUAGGAUCUCAGCGCAUAUGUUCUAAACUUCCCACAACAGUUAUUGCAGGUGAUCUAGGCUGUCUGAUUUCAUCCGAGAAUUUGUUUUCAAGUUCCAUCUCUUCAAACAGCCUGCGGUCUCUGCUUCUGUGCCAAGAGCGCUUCUUCUCUGCUUUCCAAGCCUCUUCUUUUCCCUAACAACUGCUUGCUCAAUGCUUUUAGUUCUUUACUUCAUUUCCUGCAAUAGCACAAUUCCAUUGUCUUGGUUGGUACUGCUAUACCCUUUAGGCUCUUCAGAUAUUACCGCUUCUGGAUACUCACCAUCAUGAAGAAAUUGAAAGAGUUUAGCUACUGAGGAAUAUAGAGGUAUAUAUGCAACAUGCUCAUGUUUCACCAAAUGGAAGGCACUAACAAGGUUCAGCAAUAAAAGUUAAUCGCUAGAGGUGACAUGUCAUUUAUAAUGAUACUAAUAUGUUUAUCUAAUUAUCUGUCUACAACAAUCUCCCUUUUCCCACUAACAAUUGGUGUUGCCAUCACUAUGACGUAUACAUACUUUCUAAAUGAAACACAGUGGAAAAUUUUAGUAAUCUCAAGGGGAAAACACUCAAAAAAAGUUUAUGUCCAUAAUUUUAUGAAAAUCAACAAAAGACUUGUGACUCAGAGCUUACUGCCAAACCGGUGAAAAAAACAUGACUUUCUCUUUGCCAGCUAUUAUUUUCUUUGUGGAAACUAAAUAAUUGUCAUUAGAAAUAGUCUAAAAAUAAGAAAAAAAAAACGUUGUUGCAAUCAAGAUUACAUAUGUGUAGCAUCUGCCCACAUAGUUGCUGCAAUAUUUGCUCUCCAAUUAUUAGCAUUCACUCUUUGUUGUUCUUGAGUACCUUGAAAAUUUUCAUCAGCAUUAUUCUCCUCUUCGCCUUCUUCUUCAUCUCUACUUUCUUCAACAACUACUUCUUCAGGAAGAAACAUAUCUGAACGGCAUUCCUUACGAAGAUAGUUGUGUAAAACAACACAUGCAAGUACUAACUCUGCUUGCGUCUUAUACGGAAAUGGUGGUGCACAUUUGAAGAUGAGAAAUCUAGAUUUAAAGAUGCCAAAAAUUCUCUCUAUCACAUUUCUCAAGCUUGAAUGACGAUGGUUGAACAACUCAUUUUGAUUUACCGGAUCUUUUCCUUGUCCUCUAAAAUCUUGAAGAUGAUAACGGGUACUUCAAUAUGGAGCUAGAAAAUUACGACGAUUAGCAUAUCCACAAUCGACCAAAUAAAACUUUCCUGAAAUUUUAGAAUGUAUAUAAAUAUGAGAAAUACGUAAAUUAACAUAAGAUUUUUUAUCAUAAGCAAAAUAUGUACCUUCUGGAACUUUUAGUCGGUUGCUACUUCUUGUUAAAGCAUCUUGUAAUACUUUUGCAUCAUGAGCUGAGCCUUCCCAUCCACUAAGAACAUACAUGAAUUCUAAAUCAAAGUUACAUGCAGCUAAAAUAUUUUGAGAUAGUUGUCCUUUUCUGUUACGAUAACUAGAUGAAUCUUUUCCAGUUAUCAUUGCAAGAAUAUGUGUACCAUCAAUAGCUCCAAUGCAGUCCUAAGAAAAAUAUGAAGUCAGUGUUAAAAUUUAAUUACACCUAAAGAAUACCAAAAAAAAAACUAUUUACCUUAAAGUAAGGAUAAAACCUUGUGCUGUCUCUUAUGUUUGGAGGCACUGUAGUUCCAGGUUUAGCUAUAUAGCUUGAAGCAAGUUCAUUUAAUACCUUGAGAAUUGUAUUAAAUCUCCUACUUAUUGAGAAACGUGACUUCUUGAAUCUAUCUUGAGCUUGAAUAUAUCUUGAAUUUUGACCAACAAUAAACAGAAAUGUGGCCAACAUUUCUUCGACUGAAACGUAUCUUGUAUCUUUUACUCCCAUCCGUUCUCUAAUAAUAGAGCAUAGCUUCAGAAAAACAUCCGGAUACAUACGAUAUAAAUGUCGAAAAUGAGCAGGAUCUUCAACCAAUGCAUUUUGUAUGUAUUCAUGUCCAAGUCUUGUAGUUGAUCUUCUAAUUGGGUGUUGUAUUUGCAAAAUCUGCGAAGUCAAAUACCGGAUCUUUGCGAUGAUGGACAAAACCAGGAUCAUAAUAUCAACAUCUGUUUUAAAAUUUGCCAUCUUCUUUCUUUUCUUCCUAGCUUGUACCUCUUCACUUGCAUACACAACAUGAUUCAUUGUAUAUCCCCCCUACACAAGAAAUCAUUAAAAAUUAUAUAAUUGUAAUUUGGAAAGUAUGAUACAAAAAUCAUUCAUAAACUCACAAGAAAGCAAAGCGGCGGAGAGAACACUCUUCUUUCUCUAGAAGGAUGAGGACAAAUAAAUGUACAUGUAACCCUCACUCCACCCGCCAAAUUUGACCGCCAAAUUAAAACACAACCUUUGUUGGUUUAAGAAAUCCACUUCAUAAAGAAAUCUCUUUUUUUUUUUUGUUAUUUAUUUGCUAGAUUCUUCGGCUGUAUAUGGUAACAACAUAAAGAUAUUGGAACAAAUCAAGCAUAACAAAAUCUAAACAUCUGAAUUGUUGAGAAACAAGAUAGCGAAGAAAUUGAUAAGGUCAAAUAAAAU